Molecule: transfer RNA, 74 nt
Filed under: Terriglobus saanensis SP1PR4
Lineage: Bacteria; Pseudomonadati; Acidobacteriota; Terriglobia; Terriglobales; Acidobacteriaceae
Rfam family: tRNA
About the family: Transfer RNA (tRNA) molecules are approximately 80 nucleotides in length. Their secondary structure includes four short double-helical elements and three loops (D, anti-codon, and T loops).
Source: Rfam by way of RNAcentral
GGACGAGUAGCUCAGCUGGAUAGAGCAUCUGCCUUCUAAGCAGAGGGUCGCAGGUUCGAGUCCUGCCUCGCCCA